AUAGGGGAUUCAAGAAUUCUAAUCGCCCAUAAAAAUCUGAAUCAACAAACCUAUUUACUUUUCACUUCAAACCAAUAAAUUUUGCAAACUCCCCCUAUUUACUGUUUUUAUUUAUAAGUUUAGUAAAGUACUGAGUCGAAAACAACAAUCCUUGUGGAAACGAUUAUUUUACUACUAAAUUACAUAAAUUGUUUGGUGUUCUUGCCAAAUUUAUAAUCAUCUAUCAAAAUUUUGUUUGAACAGCGUAUUGUUUUCGAUUUUAGACAAAAUGGUUUUAACUUAAAUAUAGUAAACGCAAUUAAAAACUAACCUUUUUGAGCUUUUUUGUAACUACAUCAUACAUUGUAAAUAGAUAAAAUUAUCUUCUAUUUGAUCCAUGCAAAAAGAUCAAAUCAUACAUUAAAAGUGAACAAAGUCUUCUAUUUCAAUUUUGAUGAUGUUUAGCUUGUGUUGUUUUUAAUGUACUUUACUAAUUUCAACAUAACUAUUAAAUUGAUUAUUAUAGGUGAGGGGGUGCCAAAAAGAUGUUAUGUGUUUGGAUUGCAGGCCAUGAGGAUACCUCCAAAUUUAAGAGAUAAGGAGACACGGUAAAUAAAAAUCUUUGUUGCCUUAUAUCAUUUAUAUCAUCUUAGAGUACAAAAUUAUAACAUCAAGGUCCAUGAAAUUACGAAGAACAAAAGAAGAAAAAAUAGUUAUUGAGAGCAUGCACAAAAAUUAAAUGACAACAAGUGGAAUAUUCUAGCAUAAUGUAUAUUGUACAAUUAUCUUGCCAGAGAAAGAACUCAUUUCUCUCAUUAGGGUCUUUUAGACCGUUACACAUUGAUCUUUACGACACCUAACAUUAACUCCUCGAAGUUUAGGACAAUCUUUAUCUGUUUUACAAGCCCUGUCAAAAGUCUUACUAAAAGAAGAAUUAGAUACUAUUAUGCAAAGAAAUAUGGAAAGAAAUAGAAUAAAAACAUAAACUAACUUCGGAGUUUCCACCAUAUUUUUCUCUAUUUGUGUCCAAAUAAUAGUAAAUGACUUGAUCUCUUUAUAUUGUAUAAUCAAUUUCAUAGUCUUAUAGAAAUAAUUAAAUAGUUUAAGCAUUAUACAAUUUUAAAAACCCUUUAAAAUUCUAGAAUCAUUACUAAAUGUCUCUUAAAUAUACCAAUCUAUUAUUUUUGCCCUUUUAGCACAUUAGGAAGGAGAUCAUGUAAUAAACAUAAUAAUCAAAAUAAUUGAAUACAAUUUUACUAACUUCUCAUUAAGUUUUCCUUUAGAUAAUUUUUUUAACCUUUCAUGAGUGUAAAGGGAAAAAAUAUUAUGUCAUCAUAAAGUUGUGUACGAAUAUAAAACACCAUUGGAUAUUUAUGAAAAAGU
Molecule: long non-coding RNA, 1362 nt
Filed under: Medicago truncatula (barrel medic)
Lineage: Eukaryota; Viridiplantae; Streptophyta; Magnoliopsida; Fabales; Fabaceae
Description: long non-coding RNA (MTRU_LNC001469)
Source: RNAcentral